CAUUGGUCAAUGGCCGAGAGGCUGAACCAGCCAAGUCGCGUGAGGGAUGACGGCCCUACGGGNUGUAAACCUCUUUUGUCGGGGANNCANNNGNGUCACGUGUGGCUCAUUGAGAGUACCCGAAGAAAAANNNUNANCUAACUCCGUGCCAUCAGCCGCGGUAAUACGGAGGAUGCGAGCGUUAUCCGGAUUUAUUGGGUUUAAAGGGUGCGCAGGCGGAGGUGCAAGUCAGUGGUCAAAUUGCGGGGCUCAACCCCGUACUGCCGUUGAAACUGCAUCCCUUGAGUGCGCGAGAAGUAUGCGGAAUGCGUGGUGUAGCGGUGAAAUGCAUAGAUAUCACGCAGAACUCCGAUUGCGAAGGCAGCAUACCGGCGCGCAACUGACGCUCAUGCACGAAAGCGUGGGUAUCGAACAGG
RNAcentral lists this ribosomal RNA (416 nucleotides) under uncultured bacterium. RNAcentral describes it as "partial 16S ribosomal RNA". It matches the Rfam family "Bacterial small subunit ribosomal RNA", at positions 359 to 776 of the family's 1533-position model. The record is from RNAcentral.